UAGAAGUCGAAUUUCUGAAGAAUCCUAGGAGCAAGCUUCAGGUUAGGAGAACUUGAUCCCGCAGGUACAAGCUUGGAGUAGACACCGACAGGCCGGGCUUCCUUCACUCUACACCUCCACUCUAUCUCUCUCAAUCUAGUAGAAACUAGAAGAUCUAUUUCUACCUUACAUUGAUUGCUAAGCCUAAAAAGAAAUAUUAAUUAGAGAAGAGGUUUUCCUUCGAGGGCACCCCUCAGUCUCUAUGAUAAUUUCUUCAUGUCUUCCAGGGGCCAGGGGAGCCUCGCUUAUAUAGUCCUCCCCUUCUAUGCGUUUUUGGGUCGAUAGCCGAGGUGGUACUAUGUUUUUCUUGAUCUAAUAGGUCGGUGGAAUAUCCCGAGCGAAGGAGUCCUGAAUUGACUCCAGCAGGGGGGCGGGCGCCCAGGCUACCAGGGCGGGCGCCCUGGGCCUGGCCCAGCUUCGCCUCCGCUUCGGUCUCGUGGCUUCUGGAGUCUUCUAGAUGAUGUAAAAUUACGCGGUGCGUUGAUAUCUCUAUGUAAUCCCAACAUGUGGGCCUUUCUUCCUUAUUUCCUGAUAACCCCCUGCAGAAAUAGAUAAACAACAAAACUCGUGGAAUUCUGUCAGAUCAAACCCUAAUUCUAGGUGAUGGUUGCAUAUUGGUCCUUUCUCGUGUUUAUUUGAUAAUUAAAAUUGAUACUUAAGAACCAUCAACAAAUAACCCCAUACAUAGGCUUUGACUCGUCCUCGAGAAAAGGAUGGUUAAGAAUAAUAUCUGGGGUAAACAUUUAAAACAUUCUCUUUAUAAUUGCAGGGUGUUAAAAAUUCCACUGUGUACCAUAGUCAGGGAUGUGUAUGGUUAAGUGUAAAGAUUCUUUCUUUUCAAUCCUGUCACUUGGAGUUUUUGUAUAUUUUUGAAAGAAAGUUAGCAUACCUUUUUGAUCCUCAUAGGUUCUCUCAGAUCACUCAUUAUCUUUUAUAUAUAUAUAUCUCAUUGAGGCUGUUUUAUUUUGCAAAAAUUCUCAAGCAUACUUACUUUGGAUUUAUUGCCUGAUCAAAACGGGAUCCGAGGAGGGAAAUGUCAUACUCUUAGAUCAAAGACUUUGGAAAUUAAAAACUUUGUCAACUCUUGCUGGCAUAUUGCUUAUUAGAGGGACCAUGGGCUAUCAUUUUUUUUCUUUUUCUUUUUUUUCUUUUUUUUAAGUGGAUACCGAGGUACCCCUAAUUCUACUUCCGGACACUUGUCCAUUAUUUCUGCGAGGUUGUCGAGCACUUGCUCCUUUUUAUUUCCUCGAAAUAUCUUCUAUUUUUGCAUAGCCCAUGCCUCUAAUGCAAUAAUACUUCGGAAGAGUGAAUCUUACUGAAAUAAUGUCUUGAUCUUAGGAGCAUGAUAAAUCUCUCAACAAGGGUCUAACUCAUUUUGAACAAACUCAAUACAGAGCAGAUAGCUUUUAUAAUCAUAUUUAAUAUUUCAGUUUUAUCAGGCAUAUAAAACACUGAGGAUGGUAGCUAGGAAUUUCGACAUUUUGAAAUAAAUUCUGCAAGCAACAAUGAUAUCAAGAAUAAGAAACUCAUACUCUACCAUCACAUAUUCCAUCUUGACUUAAGUAACACAGGGUUUUAAAAAAUGAUUUUAUACUAAUUGCAAGUUUUCAGGAAAUAUCACAGAUUGAGAUUAAUCAUGAUUAGAAAUAUUUUAAUCUUUUUAUUUUAUCAUGUCGGGAACAAUAUUCUGCAUAAUCUAAAAUAUAUAUAUGUGUAGAGUAAAGUGUGCAGAGUGUGUACCUGAAUCGUGGAGUGGUGUAGUCGGAAUGUGUUUAGCAUGUCGAGGGAUCUCCCCCAUACUUGUUUUCUGCUUUCUUGCACAAAAAUAAAGUAGAGACACACAAGACAUAAUAAUAAUACUCUUUAUUGAUCUUGAGGCAUUUAUUACACAAGGAAGAACAAAAUUAUUUUUGGCUAUUCUCUCCCGGAUUAGGAGUAGAAUAUUUUUGGGUGAUUCUAAAGAUAGAAAUGUAUGGAUAUAUGUGGAUGGUACUUCCGGAGUAGAAGUAGCAUGUGUGAGUGAACGUGCAAGUGAAUCUUGAUUUAACCACAUGACAAGCUCCUAAGGGUCUACAUAGCUUGACCACACUCAAUGCUCAUAAGCAGUAAAAAGUAAUUGUGUGGCUCGAAGUCUAGCAAGCAUGUAUAUAUGGCUGUGGUAGGAAUUUAAACUCUCAUCAUACAGGAACUCAUCAUGCAACAUUUUAAAGAUUUCCAAAGAUAAAAUUCUCCAGAAUUCUAGCAUCUCUAGAAACAGAUAAACAGCAGCUCAACCUUCCCAUAUCGUAUCCGUUAACAACUUAGAUUUCAGAUCAAGUUUUCAUCCCACAAGUUUAGGUCUAGAGCAAGCUUUAAAUUAUAACAGUUAUGUCUAAACUUGAGAGAGAACUUAAAAUGUGCAAAUUAGGC
RNAcentral lists this long non-coding RNA (2448 nucleotides) under Sorghum bicolor (sorghum). RNAcentral describes it as "long non-coding RNA (SBIC_LNC017784)". The record is from RNAcentral. Lineage: Eukaryota; Viridiplantae; Streptophyta; Magnoliopsida; Poales; Poaceae.